RNA transcript from Gymnodraco acuticeps, 3942 nucleotides. It is a transcript of the gene named KIAA0513 ortholog, with no coding region annotated. NCBI's taxonomy places the organism in Eukaryota, Metazoa, Chordata, Actinopteri, Perciformes, Bathydraconidae. The transcript is spliced from 15 exons. The record is from RefSeq and is a predicted model, not a curated record.
CUCAACUUGUCAUCCUAUUUUUGCGCGUGCGCUCUCCGACCACAGCCACCACAUCAUUCAGCAAAAGCUACGCACAAUACCAGCCGCGAGGACAGCCUGCUUCUCCUUCAUGUACAUGAGUGACGUGUGUCUGUUAGCAUGAGCAUGUGAGGUCUGAACAGGAAGCUGUGCUCACCGCUGCUUCCGGCCGCCCAGCUCACUGUCAACACAGGUUUAAAACGUCUGUGCUGAAUAAUAUUUCCUGGGGGUGGAAGAGGCUCAGGGAUAUAACGGAGCUGUGUGAAUCAUGCCAAGUGCAGCACACACUGAAGAUAAGGACGCAGUGGGUGUAAGAGCUCUCUCGAUGUUGGCAAACUCGCAGUGGGAAAGUCUGCUAAAUUAAAACCCAUUAAGGACAGGUGACCCUUCUAACUAGCACCUACAAAUGUGACCACCCUGAUGUUCCUGCAGAACACUCAAAAGCUCAUGCUAAAAAAACCUGUUUCAAAACUAAAAGGAAAAGGCAUAUUUCCAACACGGAGGGUGUAGCAGUGGACAACUUAACAGACUUUGCCCUGGCCUCGGAGGCCACAGCUGUUCGCAUUAAAGGAGGCCAGCACCAAGGCCAUACAGACAUUUUCUCCCCAGAGCAGGCUCCUUCCAUGGAAUUCCAGCAGCAGCCAUUACUGCCAGAGCCCACAUCGCCGGCCAAGCCCAGCUCCCAGCAGCAGCCCCCAGAGGAGGGCCACAAUCACAGCGAUGCCACAGAGUCGGCGUACAGCGGGGACGACAUGGAGGCGCCCGCUCACAUGGGGGGGCCUGCUCACAUGGGGGGACCCGCUCACAUGGGGGGGCUGAGGCGGUCCUCGUCUUCGUCUACUCACAGUGGAGAGGAAUCUGACAGGGUGGAGAGGAGGCACUUCAUGAAGGCUUAUGUGGAGAAGGUGUUUCAUGGAAAGGAGGACUUUGACCAGGAAGAGAAGGCUCGUUUUGGAGAGCUGUGCAGUGGAGAGAAUGGCAAAGGCAGGGAGUGGUUUGCCAAAUACGUCAGCGCACAGCGCUGUCAUUCCAAGUGUGUGAGUGAAGCAACCUUCUACAGACUGGUGCAGUCAUUUGCAGUUGUACUGUUUGAAUGUUACCAGAUGGAUGACUACAGCCCAGCCAAAAACCUCAUGACUAUGUGCUUCACGUACUACUACAGUGGGAAGUCCCAGCCGUCUCCCUCCGAGCUGUUGGACCGUGGUAGUCCUCCAGCCGCUGUAGACUCCUACAUCAACAAGGCCAACUCCUGGCUUUCUGUGAAGAAGGAUGCAGCUGAGCGCCUCCUCAAAAGCUCAUCCAAGAAUGAUGUGAAAGGCUUCUUUGGAGGCCUAGAGAACAAGCUGAGAAGCUCAAUGGCUCCUAAGACUGAGGAUGGGGAAAGCCCUGUCGAGACAAAACCCAAAUCACCAGUGUCUGAGGCUCCAGAGGAGAAGAAAGGAGAGAAGGUGUACCUGUACAUCCACCUGAAGCAGCAACCCAUCUGGCAUACACUUAGAUUUUGGAAUGCUGCUUUUUUUGAUGCCGUCGAUUGUGAAAGGAAGAAAAGAUCCCCCACCACGAGGAAGAAGAGAAAGACGAGAGGGAGAAGUGGUGUCACAUGACCCAGGAGGAGAGGGACGACAGCUCCAAGAUGGAUGAGAACAUCGCCUUCGGCCAGCUGGGGACAUUCACUCAUAACAUGCUGGCGUUUGGGCUCAGUAAGAAGCUUUGCAAUGACUUCCUGAAGAAGCAGGCGGUCAUUGGGAGCCUGAAUGAAGAACAGUACAAGUUGCUGAGUGACCACAUAGAGAAAAUGGCGUCAGAGUAAGUUUGAGGAUGCGACUCGAAGUCUCCACAGAACAGAUUAACAACAUGAGAAGUUUAUCUGCAACCCACAGACCAACUCUCCGUUUGACUGUUGAUGCAUCUGAAUAUCAUAUUAACCUACAAUACUGAAGUGUUCCCCAGCAGAACCCUGCUCCUCUGCACCGGCCAUGUAUCAGCAAUAAUACAACAUCAUCAGCUAGUGCAAACUUGAAUACACUUUCAAACUUCCUAAUGUGAUGUAAUUGGAAAAGAACUUGGAGCAUAAAGUGAAACCGUCUGGAAUAAAACCCAAACAGCCUCAGCAUGGUGUCAGAAUCUUGUUCGCAUGAUGUGUGAGCUAUAUAUACUCGAUGCCUUUGUUUCCUGGGAACACACACUAAUUACUUGUUGGUUCUAACAGCAUCUGGUGAGCCAUGGCACUGAGUAUCGUCCUGCCUGGUUACAUUGGACAACAGACAGCUCAAACCAGACUUGGGUAGAAUAGUAAAGUAAUUUCAGUUUAUUACUGAACACUCAUCUGUGCUCUGUGCAACACUGUAGAAUCCUUUAUGUCAAUACAAACAAUAACAUACCGCUUUACCAUAAUAUGUAACAUGUACCACAUAUAACCUUAUCGCUGGCACCACACAAAUUCCCUGUAUGCCUUCUCUUCAUUGGUUUAGUUUGACACCUUGAGAAGCACACUCAGUAAGGCCACACUUAGCUUAGCAUAAAGCCUGGAAGCAGAGAGAAAUGGCUAGACUGGCUUCCUUAAAAAGGAACAACAUUUUCCUACCGGACCCUCCUUGGUAGUAAUACUUAGUUAAGAGAGUGUUAUUAGAAAAGAACAGCAGCAGUCUUCCUACUGACGAGAGGAAUCUAAUACCACUCUCUUUUUACUUUGGCACACAUGUACAUUCUAGUGGAAAUUAUUUUUUAUUUUCCUUAAUUAAUAACUUCAUUAUACCCUUGAAGCCAUUUGAGAACACUUACCUUUCCAAAUUAAUUAAAUGAAAGUAAAUGUCUUUCAUUCAGAUGCUCUGUUAACCAACCAAACACUAAUGUAGAGCCUAUACUGUUCCUCUGUUACACAUUUCCUGCAAGAUAAAAUACAAAUACAAUUCAUCCCUGUGUUUUGAGAUGGUUAUACAGUAAGUAGUUUAUCUUCAUUUGGUUGAGCUUCAAUGCCAGAUGUUGCCUGAACCACCAUACACAUUUUCUCCUGCUGCAUUUAUAUCUUUGCAUGUAUCUAGCAUGUUCAAACGGCAUCAAGCAAGUGUCAAAAGUGCAAAUUAUCUGUGAAUCGACAUUUCCUGUUCAUCCUACCACUGCAGGGUAGCCUCGUGUAAUGGUGAAAGCUGGUUAUCUGCGUUGAAUUCCCGGAUAAUACACUGACAGUUUGAAUCCCAUUUCAGUUGGAUAAUCUGUUUUAAUCUAUUGUGUCGAUAGAGCACAUUUGUAAUUACUGCACAUAUUCUCCAUAGGUUAAACAAUUGAUCAUGUAUUUCUGUUUGUAAAUUGUAUUUUCUUUUAUUGGAAAUAUUUGAUCAAUAGAUGUUAUUGAUCAUUGUGUCCAUGAGGAACAUCUACCUGCAGUUCUGACCCUGUAGUUCCACUCAUACAUCCAAGCCCUGUGUUACGUGCUCUUUUAAAGAUUUGCAUAUAGUGUUGUGCAAUAGUCUCCGAUGUUGAUGUAAUUCAUUCCUUUACAGCUUAGUGACAUGUUUUCACCCAUGUGCAUAAUCAUACAAAUCAUAUAGAAAGCCUUGCAGACCUGUUUUCCCCCUUUAUUGACUCUUUCAAUUCUCUCAGGGGUCCCGUUGCACGUUGUCUAAUAAUAUUGAGCUGUAUGUUGUACUUGUUGGCACAGCAUGAGCCAUUUGCACUACAUGUAUCUUCUGAAUAUAAUGAACUGUUAUAUUGAUGCCUUUUAUAUUUGUUUAGCAUGGCAAGUUCAUGCUCUCUGUAUAUCUGUUAAAUGUUAAUGGUAGUUUGUCUUUUGUAGCAAGGUAAUAACAAAUGUUUUACUGUAUUGCCUUUAUGUCAAUUAUCAACAAGGUGAAAUGUGUAAUUAAACUUACAUGAAGUUGUUAUGGGGUUUCCCUCUUGGUGACCCCCUGUUGUGAUGACAAUGUG